UGAGUAACCUGCCCCAGACUCUGGGAUAAGCACUGGAAACGGUGUCUAAUACCGGAUACCACUCCCGCCUGCAUGGGCGGGGGUUGAAAGCUCCGGCGGUGAAGGAUGAGCCCGCGGCCUAUCAGCUUGUUGGUGGGGUAAUGGCCCACCGAGGCGACGACGGGUAGCCGGCCUGGAGGAGGGGCGGCCGGCCACACUGGGACUGAGACACGGCCCAGACCUCCGUACGGGGAGGCAG
RNAcentral lists this ribosomal RNA (238 nucleotides) under uncultured bacterium. Its description in RNAcentral is "partial 16S ribosomal RNA". It matches the Rfam family "Bacterial small subunit ribosomal RNA", at positions 118 to 351 of the family's 1533-position model. The record is from RNAcentral.